UGGGGAAUUUUGGACAAUGGACGCAAGUCUGAUCCAGCCAUUCCGCGUGCAGGAUGAAGGCCCUCGGGUUGUAAACUGCUUUUGUACGGAACGAAAAGGUCUCUCUUAAUACGGGGGGCUCAUGACGGUACCGUAAGAAUAAGCACCGGCUAACUACGUGCCAGCAGCCGCGGUAAUACGUAGGGUGCAGGCGUUAAUCGGAAUUACUGGGUGAAAAACGUGCGCCGGCGGUUAUGUAAGCAAGAGGGG
This 249-nucleotide ribosomal RNA is filed under the name uncultured Comamonadaceae bacterium. Its description in RNAcentral is "partial 16S ribosomal RNA". It matches the Rfam family "Bacterial small subunit ribosomal RNA", at positions 355 to 596 of the family's 1533-position model. Lineage: Bacteria; Pseudomonadati; Pseudomonadota; Betaproteobacteria; Burkholderiales; Comamonadaceae. The record is from RNAcentral.